AUGAACGCUGGCGGCGUGCCUCAUACAUGCAAGUCGAGCGAACGGACGAGAAGCUUGCUUCUCUGAUGUUAGCGGCGGACGGGUGAGUAACACGUGGAUAACCUACCUAUAAGACUGGGAUAACUUCGGGAAACCGGAGCUAAUACCGGAUAAUAUUUUGAACCGCAUGGUUCAAAAGUGAAAGACGGUCUUGCUGUCACUUAUAGAUGGAUCCGCGCUGCAUUAGCUAGUUGGUAAGGUAACGGCUUACCAAGGCAACGAUGCUUAGCCGACCUGAGAGGGUGAUCGGCCCCACUGGAACUGAGACACGGUCCAGACUCCUACGGGAGGCAGCAGUAGGGAAUCUUCCGCAAUGGGCGAAAGCCUGACGGAGCAACGCCGCGUGAGUGAUGAAGGUCUUCGGAUCGUAAAACUCUGUUAUUAGGGAAGAACAUAUGUGUAAGUAACUGUGCACAUCUUGACGGUACCUAAUCAGAAAGCCACGGCUAACUACGCG
RNAcentral lists this ribosomal RNA (496 nucleotides) under uncultured bacterium. Its description in RNAcentral is "partial 16S ribosomal RNA". It matches the Rfam family "Bacterial small subunit ribosomal RNA", at positions 29 to 507 of the family's 1533-position model. The record is from RNAcentral.